Long non-coding RNA from Carassius auratus (goldfish), 559 nucleotides. RefSeq lists it as uncharacterized. Lineage: Eukaryota; Metazoa; Chordata; Actinopteri; Cypriniformes; Cyprinidae. The transcript is spliced from 2 exons. The record is from RefSeq and is a predicted model, not a curated record.
UUUAUUUAAAGAGUAGUGAGUGAAGGCUAUUAGGAUCCACACUCCAUUUCAGAAGGUGGCGGUAAUGCACACUUAAAAGUUGUUUGCCAACCGCCAAUUUAAAAAAGAAGAAGAAGUAAGUCAGUUCAUUUGGUAGAGGGAAACCAUUUGGUUGAACUCAUGCUACUGGCUUCCUCUAUGAAAGUCCUUGGUUGAGAACUCUUUGAGUUUCCGCUCAGCUAAAGGACUUUAUUUAGUCUGUCUACACUUGUCUGUCCUACAAAUGAUUGCUUUCUUCGGGUGUAAUUGAAUGGAUGCAUCUUAAUUCAACUCUGGGUUCAUCCAAUGCCAACAACACUAGGGGAUAUAGGAAAACAUUGCAUCGCACUCAAAUAACUUUGUGGACUAUCACUCAUCAAUUCUCUUACUUCAACUCUACAUGGAAUGAUAAGUUUAUUUCAUAUCACUGACUGAGUUAGAAGACGAAGUGUGUUUAAAUUGACUUUGGUUUAUUUGUUGGUUUUUGUGCCUGUAUGAACAUGUACACUGGUGGGAAGAAUAAAUUAAGAUACAAAGAUCA